CCUCCGAUUGCUUAGUGGUAGAGCAAAGGAUUGUAGGUGUCAUAGAGCAAUCUUUAAUUUGGUGGUUCAACUCCAGCUCAAAGGA
This 85-nucleotide transfer RNA is filed under the name Xenopus laevis (African clawed frog). It matches the Rfam family "tRNA". From Rfam's summary of the family: Transfer RNA (tRNA) molecules are approximately 80 nucleotides in length. The record is from Rfam by way of RNAcentral. Lineage: Eukaryota; Metazoa; Chordata; Amphibia; Anura; Pipidae.